CUAUGGGCGGCAGCAGUGAGGAAUUUUGGUCAAUGGGGGAAACCCUGAACCAGCGACGCCGCGUGUGGGAUGAAGGGGCUUUGCCCUGUAAACCACUGUUGGGAGGGAAGAAAAGCUUUUUGAAAAGCUGGGGCUGUACCUCUUUAGAAAGGAUCGGCUAACUACGUGCCAGCAGCCGCGGUAAUACGUAGGAUCCAAGCGUUGUCCGGAAUCACUGGGUAUAAAGGGUGCGUAGGCGGGCUUGUGCGUCAGAGGUUAAAUCCCACGGCUCAACCGUGGAUCUGCCUUUGAUACGGCAAGUCUUGAGUGUGAGAGAGGAUGGUAGAAUUCCUGGUGUAGCGGUGAAAUGCGUAGAUAUCAGGAGGAAUACCAGUGGCGAAGGCGGCCAUCUGGCUCAUUACUGACGCUGAGGCACGAAAGCGUGGGGAGCAAACAGGAUUAGAUACCCCAGUAGUC
Molecule: ribosomal RNA, 456 nt
Filed under: uncultured bacterium
Lineage: Bacteria
Description: partial 16S ribosomal RNA
Rfam family: Bacterial small subunit ribosomal RNA
Source: RNAcentral